ACGAACGCUGGCGGCGUGCUUAACACAUGCAAGUCGAACGGAAAGGCCUCUUUCGGGGGGUACUCGAGUGGCGAACGGGUGAGUAACACGUGAGUAACCUGUCCUUGACUUUGGGAUAACUUCAGGAAACUGGGGCUAAUACCGGAUAGGAGCUCCUGCUGCAUGGUGGGGGUUGGAAAGUUUCGGCGGUUGGGGAUGGACUCGCGGCUUAUCAGCUUGUUGGUGGGGUAGUGGCUUACCAAGGCUUUGACGGGUAGCCGGCCUGAGAGGGUGACCGGCCACAUUGGGACUGAGAUACGGCCCAGACUCCUACGGGAGGCAGCAGUGGGGAAUAUUGCACAAUGGGUGGAAGCCUGAUGCAGCAACGCCGUGUGCGGGAUGACGGCCUUCGGGUUGUAAACCGCUUUCGCUCAUGACGAAGCUUUGUGUGACGGUAGUGGGUAAAGAAGCACCGGCUAACUACGUG
Molecule: ribosomal RNA, 466 nt
Filed under: uncultured bacterium
Lineage: Bacteria
Description: partial 16S ribosomal RNA
Rfam family: Bacterial small subunit ribosomal RNA
Source: RNAcentral